GGGACCUUCUCCACGCUCCCGAGGCGAACGCAGGGCGUGGGUGUGCGGAGGGGGGCGCGCACAUCUGGGGAAGAAGCCCGAGUGGGCGGAGAGCCGCAUCUGCUGCAGUGGGCGGGCUGUCGCAGGAAGGAGCCCCAGCAGCCGCCACCGCCACCUCGGGAGUUUGCUGGGCUAGUGCAGUAACUAUGCAGCAUGACUGGACAGUGCGUAGAUUUGAUCAGGAAUUCAUAUCCAGAGCUGCAGCAAAAUACUGGUGUCUCUCAAGCAAGAUUUAUUGUUUCUGCUGGUCUCUGGCUUUAUUCAUCUGAGGAAGAAGCAUGAUGUAGUGGGAAGAGCAGUAGAUCAGAAGAUUUAGGUUCACACUAUGGCUUUGCUACUUCCUUACUUCCUCUGUGACCUCAGGCAAAUCACCUACCCAUUCUGGACCUGAUAUUCCUCAUCUCUUAAAUGAUGGAGUAUACAAUCAACUUCUUGCAUCCAUUGCAUUGAGUACUAACAAACUUGUGACUCAAGCUCUGACUGUAGAGAUCAUCCAGGACAAUGAAUGCACCCAAAUCUCUUUAUGUUGACCCUGAAAUAAUCAUCAGACACUGAUUCUUUCCACUCAUGUGAAGGAAAGGACAAAGGAAGAGGUAAGAAUUGGGCAGAGCAGAAGAUAUACCAUAUACAGCAUUCAAAGCCACAAGCCAGAUAGAAACAGAGCACUGGGUCUGAGGAAUAGAAGAUUAUCCCUAACAGAAAAGGGAAUGGAAAGCCAGCUGAAGCUAGUCAUCUAUUGAUAGCUGUUACUCAAGACAAGGAUCUGAGCCCAGCAAACCUCCUAACUCAUAAUGUGAGGAGGUUAAAUUAAUUUCUAAAGUCCUAUUUUUCUUUCUAAUCAUUUUAGAAGUUCUUGCAUUUAAUCCAUGAUCUCUGGCAAUCCACAGUAUUAUCUUUCAUUUAGUUAUAUUGGUUCAUUUUCCUUCACAUUAUACAUUAAAUAUGCCCCUUGGUUUUCUUUUUCAGAUUUUACUCUUCCUUUUGUCUAUAUGAUCCUCUCUCUUAGUUAAUCUGCUUGUUGUCUGUUUUUUUUAAUACAGGUUCUCUAUUGGUCUUUCAGAUUUUCUCUUGCAUUUUAGGUCACUCGCAUUUGGGAAGCUACCAAGUAGCCCAGCCUUGGGGAAAUCUGUACAAAAGUGGAAGGGGCAGGGACUGGAAAUGGUGGAGGAUACCCAAGUGUUAAACACGGAGAAUUCAUCAGAAAAGAUGAAAGACCAGACUAUCAAGAGAGAGUCUGAAUAAAAACCCAGCCACAAGCA
Molecule: long non-coding RNA, 1298 nt
Filed under: Phascolarctos cinereus (koala)
Lineage: Eukaryota; Metazoa; Chordata; Mammalia; Diprotodontia; Phascolarctidae
Description: lncRNA (ENSPCIG00000036105.1)
Source: RNAcentral